This 253-nucleotide ribosomal RNA is filed under the name uncultured bacterium. RNAcentral's name for it is "partial 16S ribosomal RNA". It matches the Rfam family "Bacterial small subunit ribosomal RNA", at positions 524 to 776 of the family's 1533-position model. The record is from RNAcentral.
UACGUAGGGCGCAAGCGUUGUCCGGAUUUAUUGGGCGUAAAGAGCUCGUAGGCGGUCUGUCGCGUCGGAUGUGAAAACCCGGAACUCAACUCCGGGCCUGCAUUCGAUACGGGCAGACUUGAGUACUGCAGGGGAGACUGGAAUUCCUGGUGUAGCGGUGGAAUGCGCAGAUAUCAGGAGGAACACCGGUGGCGAAGGCGGUUCUCUGGGCCUUACCUGACGCUGAGGAGCGAAAGCGUGGGGAGCGAACAGG